AACGAACGCUGGCGGCAUGCCUAACACAUGCCAGUCGAACGAGACCUUCGGGUCUAGUGGCGCACGGGUGCGUAACGCGUGGGAACCUGCCCUUAGGCUCGGAAUAACUCCCCGAAAGGGGUGCUAAUACCGGAUAAUGUCUUCGGACCAAAGAUUUAUCGCCUUUGGAUGGGCCCGCGUUGGAUUAGCUAGUUGGUAGGGUAAAAGCCUACCAAGGCGACGAUCCAUAGCUGGUCUGAGAGGAUGAUCAGCCACACUGGGACUGAGACACGGCCCAGACUCCUACGGGAGGCAGCAGUGGGGAAUAUUGGACAAUGGGCGAAAGCCUGAUCCAGCAAUGCCGCGUGAGUGAUGAAGGCCUUAGGGUUGUAAAGCUCUUUUACCCGGGAUGAUAAUGACAGUACCGGGAGAAUAAGCUCCGGCUAACUCCGUG
This 433-nucleotide ribosomal RNA is filed under the name uncultured bacterium. RNAcentral describes it as "partial 16S ribosomal RNA". It matches the Rfam family "Bacterial small subunit ribosomal RNA", at positions 29 to 507 of the family's 1533-position model. The record is from RNAcentral.